This is a small nucleolar RNA of Ornithorhynchus anatinus (platypus), 134 nucleotides long. The record is from RefSeq and is a predicted model, not a curated record. Lineage: Eukaryota; Metazoa; Chordata; Mammalia; Monotremata; Ornithorhynchidae.
CCCCUCUCAGGGUCACAUCUGGAGAGUUUCCAGUACUCUACCAGUCUCGACUAUAGGAGAGUCAAGCAGAGGCCUAUCCAUUCCAUUCCUAGAUUGGGCAGUAGCUAGUGAGUGGUAGGCAAUCUGCUACAAGU